RNAcentral lists this ribosomal RNA (253 nucleotides) under uncultured bacterium. RNAcentral's name for it is "partial 16S ribosomal RNA". It matches the Rfam family "Bacterial small subunit ribosomal RNA", at positions 524 to 776 of the family's 1533-position model. The record is from RNAcentral.
UACGUAGGAGACGAGCGUUGUCCGGAGUUACUGGGCGUAAAGGGUGCGCAGGCGGCCUGGCGCGUCGCGAGUGAAAUCUCCUGGCUCAACUGGGAGGGUGGUCGCGAGACGGCUGGGCUUGAGGCUCGGUGAGGGGCGUGGAAUUCCGGGUGGAGCGGUGAAAUGCGUAGAGAUCCGGAGGAACACCGACGGCGUAGGCAGCGCCCUAGACGAGACUUGACGCUCAGGCACGAAAGCGCGGGGAGCGAACAGG